UACGUAGGGUGCAAGCGUUAAUCGGAAUUACUGGGCGUAAAGCGCGCGCAGGCGGUUUUCCAAGUCAGUGGUGAAAGCCCGGAGCUCAACUCCGGAACUGCCAUUGAAACUGUUAAACUUGAGGACGAGAGAGGUGAGUGGAAUUCCCAGUGUAGAGGUGAAAUUCGUAGAUAUUGGGAAGAACACCAGUGGCGAAGGCGGCUCACUGGCUCGUAUCUGACGCUCAGGCGCGAUAGCGUGGGGAUCAAACAGG
RNAcentral lists this ribosomal RNA (253 nucleotides) under uncultured bacterium. Its description in RNAcentral is "partial 16S ribosomal RNA". It matches the Rfam family "Bacterial small subunit ribosomal RNA", at positions 524 to 776 of the family's 1533-position model. The record is from RNAcentral.